This 1399-nucleotide ribosomal RNA is filed under the name Helicobacter sp. ABHU3cae. RNAcentral describes it as "bacterial SSU rRNA". It matches the Rfam family "Bacterial small subunit ribosomal RNA". The record is from RNAcentral. Lineage: Bacteria; Pseudomonadati; Campylobacterota; Epsilonproteobacteria; Campylobacterales; Helicobacteraceae. RNAcentral also lists the same sequence under 2 other names.
AGUGAACGCUGGCGGCGUGCCUAAUACAUGCAAGUCGAACGAUGAAGCUUCUAGCUUGCUAGAAGUGGAUUAGUGGCGCACGGGUGAGUAAUGCAUAGGUUAUGUGCCCUUUAGUCUGGGAUAGCCACUGGAAACGGUGAUUAAUACUGGAUACUUCGCUAAAGGAUCAGCCUAUGUCCUAUCAGCUUGUUGGUGAGGUAAUGGCUCACCAAGGCUAUGACGGGUAUCCGGCCUGAGAGGGUGAUCGGACACACUGGAACUGAGACACGGUCCAGACUCCUACGGGAGGCAGCAGUAGGGAAUAUUGCUCAAUGGGGGAAACCCUGAAGCAGCAACGCCGCGUGGAGGAUGAAGGUUUUAGGAUUGUAAACUCCUUUUGUAAGAGAAGAUUAUGACGGUAUCUUACGAAUAAGCACCGGCUAACUCCGUGCCAGCAGCCGCGGUAAUACGGAGGGUGCAAGCGUUACUCGGAAUCACUGGGCGUAAAGAGCGCGUAGGCGGGAGAGUAAGUCAGAUGUGAAAUCCUGUAGCUUAACUACAGAACUGCAUUUGAAACUACUUUUCUAGAGUAUGGGAGAGGUAGGUGGAAUUCUUGGUGUAGGGGUAAAAUCCGUAGAGAUCAAGAGGAAUACUCAUUGCGAAGGCGACCUGCUGGAACAUUACUGACGCUGAUGCGCGAAAGCGUGGGGAGCAAACAGGAUUAGAUACCCUGGUAGUCCACGCCCUAAACGAUGAAUGCUAGUUGUUGCCCUGCUUGUCAGGGCAGUAAUGCAGCUAACGCAUUAAGCAUUCCGCCUGGGGAGUACGGUCGCAAGAUUAAAACUCAAAGGAAUAGACGGGGACCCGCACAAGCGGUGGAGCAUGUGGUUUAAUUCGAGGAUACGCGAAGAACCUUACCUAGGCUUGACAUUGAUAGAAUCUACUAGAGAUAGUGGAGUGCCCUUCGGGGAGCUUGAAAACAGGUGCUGCACGGCUGUCGUCAGCUCGUGUCGUGAGAUGUUGGGUUAAGUCCCGCAACGAGCGCAACCCUCGUCCUUAGUUGCUAGCAGUUCGGCUGAGCACUCUAAGGAGACUGCCUUCGUAAGGAGGAGGAAGGUGAGGACGACGUCAAGUCAUCAUGGCCCUUACGCCUAGGGCUACACACGUGCUACAAUGGGACAUACAAAAAGAUGCAAUACCGCGAGGUGGAGCAAAUCUCUAAAAUGUCUCUCAGUUCGGAUUGUAGUCUGCAACUCGACUACAUAAAGCUGGAAUCGCUAGUAAUCGUGAAUCAGCAAUGUCACGGUGAAUACGUUCCCGGGUCUUGUACUCACCGCCCGUCACACCAUGGGAGUUGUAUUCGCCUUAAGUCGGGAUACUAAAUUGGUUACCGCCCACGGCGGAUGCAGCGACUGGGGUG